Molecule: long non-coding RNA, 1076 nt
Filed under: Homo sapiens (human)
Lineage: Eukaryota; Metazoa; Chordata; Mammalia; Primates; Hominidae
Description: HSALNT0299786
Source: RNAcentral
GCCCCAGCCUAUCCCAUCACAGUGAGGGGUGGGGCAUGACCUGGAGCCGCAGUUGGCAACGGGAGUGGCUUUAGCACCCCGACCACCCUAACAUCUUGCACUGUCUGGGGGCUCCCCGGGCUCAGCAACACCCACCUCUGUGGCUGGGAGCUGGGCUCAGCCACAUCCCUGCAACUUCUCCGGGACACCGCCAUCCAGCUACGCCAAGGCCUGACGGCGGCUCCAUGUUUCCUGCCAAUGGCGGUGCUAUUAAUUUCUGCAUCUGAAAGGUGAGGGUGCAUGGGAUGGAAGAGGAUCUAGCGGGUGGACGUGAUCACAGCAGCUGCAUCUGGAAGGCGAGGGUGCAUGGGAUGGAAGCAGAUCUGGUGGGUGGAGGUGAGGACUACUGCAGCUGCAUCUGGAAGGUCAAACGCUCAGAGCCAUAUGUGGCUCGAGGCUGCCAUGUUGCACAGUGCAAAUCCACAGAGCGUUUCAUCCAAUGGUAUUGCCCUUGAAGGUGGGCAUUCCACAGCCCGCGGCCCUGACGAGGGAAAUGCACAGAGCCUCCUCCUGACCCGCAGCGCACAUGUGAGGAUUCCAAAUAAAGUUGCAGACUCCAUGUUCUUAGGGGAAGAGAGCGUAACUCCCGCUGCUUAAGUGAAGCCCAUGCAUAGUGACUUUGCUCCAGUGAGUCUGGAAAGCGGGACAAGGGAGUAACUUUCCUGUGGAGAAACCUGGCAGAGGCCACGACCGCCAGAUCAUCAGAAAAACCCCAACUGAGAGAAAUUCUACAGCAUGCCUGACCAUUACUCUUCAAAACUAUCCCAGUCAUCGAAAACAAGGAAAAUCUGAGAAACUGCCAGCAGAGGGGGGUCCAGGGAGAUGUGACAGCUGCAUGCACAGCGGCGUCCCGGAUGGGGUCCUGGAACAGAAAGAUAACAUCAGGCCACCAGAGCUGGCAUGGAGCCCAGUGGGAAGGUGGCAUUUCUGCUCAGCAAGCAACUAAGAGAAGCCUGCCCUUGGCAACAGAAAGUUCUAACGAGGACCCAGGUUUUUAGACAGCUAGAGUCUCCGUGUUUCUUCUGAUUGUGGUAGGA